CCGGAAGCCGCCGCGGAGCUCGCUGCUGCCGCUGCUACGGCCGCUCCACGCCGGAGGUCGACCCAUGGAGCCCCGCAGAAAACAACCCGAGUACUAUUGGAGGAGCUCGGGGAGCAGAGUCCGGCCGCUCUGCUGCGCUCACUGGUACCGCAACACCACCUACUUGGGUCUGAGCACCGUGGAGCAGCCCCUCCGACACCGUCCAUUCCGUCACCGAGGAGGCCUCCGUCUCUCAGGACCGCCGGACCGGUGCACAUCGGGUUUUAUAUCUCAGCUGGUGAUGAAUUGUGCAAAAAAAAACUCUGAUAGAUUGAUAAAUGAUUUGCUGUCGGUGGAUUAAAUGUGAAUAUAAUCUAAUAAUGGGCAUUCUCUCCCUCUUUUUAUCUGCAGCCUUUCAAUAAGAAUCUGAUGUGAAUCAUGAAAUGAUUAAAUAAACAAAACCCCAUAAAUAUAUAUAUAUAUAUAUUACACAUUACAACAUUUUUUUAUAUUUAUAUAUAUUUAUAUAUGGAAAUAUAUAACUAUUUUUUAAAUGCAAAAUUAAUUAAAUAUUCAUAUAUAUACAAAUAAUAUAUAUAUAUAUAUGUAAAGCUAUUUAUUUAUAUAUAUAUAUAAAUAUAUUUGAGCAGGAAAUAAAUGAACACUUUUUUUUUACACACUCAAAGUACAGUUUGUCAUAUUUUCUUUACAUUUGAGGAUAUGUUUCAGCUUGAUUAAAGAUAUCCAGCACCUUUGGGGAUGUUUUCGAUGAACUGUCAUUGAUUCAUUGCCGCCUUUAUCCCGCGAGUUUAGUAUUGAUUAAAAAUAAAAAUAAAAAUAUUUUAGUUUCAUUUGUGGUUUUUUUUGGUGUGCAGUUGUAGCGCCCCCCAGUGGCGCUCUCGUGGGAAAACGCAGCUUUAGCUUCUACUCCAUUGAAAGAAAUGUAAUCUUAUGAAAUAUAAAGGAAAAGUGGACUCUGUUGUAAAAGCUUAAAUAAAAUGGAUUAAACAUU
Long non-coding RNA from Pseudoliparis swirei, 991 nucleotides. RefSeq lists it as uncharacterized. The transcript has 2 exons. The record is from RefSeq and is a predicted model, not a curated record. NCBI's taxonomy places the organism in Eukaryota, Metazoa, Chordata, Actinopteri, Perciformes, Liparidae.